AAGAGAUUUCCCCUUCUCUGUUUCAGAUAUGAUCCCAGGGGACUGCUAUUGUCAUCUUGACCCUGUAAAGACAGUGAGGCUGAGGACAAGGCCCCCCGACCAAGAGGGCAGCGCUAAGAGAAGGAGACAGAGCCAGAUACUGCAGUGUCUACAACCACCUGCAGGAUGCAUAUUGGAGCUUUACAUAGAGUAGAGAAACUCUAAGUUGGCACGAUUACACUCCAAGGAUUUGAAAGGCUGAUGAAGAAAAGCAAGCUUGGAGACACAUCAUUGUGUUCUGUCACACCAACCAGCCUGCACCAGAGACACAGGAAUCUUGAUCUUCUGGCAGAAAACUCUUCCAAAACAUUCCUAUGUGACACUGCUCAUGUAUAGGUGCUCCAAACCAAAUGUCCAGUUGCUUCCACCAUUGUGCAAAAAUGGGAGACCCUGCCGAGCAGCAGAUGGCCCUCAGCACGGCUGACACUCAGGCCAGGCCCCAGGUGGCAGCUCUCAGAACACACUGUCCAGCUAAACCCUGCACAGACUGGCCGUUGAAAAUACCUGGUGUUCACAUUCCCCAAAAGUUGGGCAAAUGACAGGGUCACCCAGUGCACUUCAUGGGGUCAGUGGGGAGAACCAGCAUUUCAGCACAAGUUCACAAAUCACUGGGUCCCCCUUGUCAAACACUGCAAAUAUGUAGCAUGCUAAGAAAAAUCUCCUUACCUCUCAGACUCUGUAUCACUCAGUUCAUCUGAGUUGCUACAAUGGACAAUAAAAUCUAAUAAGUUAAAAUGAGGUAUGGAAUGCUCAGGAGAAAAACAACAAGGACUAGUACUCCUCAUCUGAGUAAAUAAUUUCUCUCACAGGGUUAAUUUUAGCUUUGCAAGUUUUUUAUUUGAGAUUAUAUUUUAA
This 894-nucleotide long non-coding RNA is filed under the name Homo sapiens (human). RNAcentral describes it as "long non-coding RNA NONHSAT213329.1". Lineage: Eukaryota; Metazoa; Chordata; Mammalia; Primates; Hominidae. The record is from RNAcentral.